Molecule: long non-coding RNA, 1935 nt
Organism: Meriones unguiculatus (Mongolian gerbil)
Lineage: Eukaryota; Metazoa; Chordata; Mammalia; Rodentia; Muridae
Exons: 3
Source: RefSeq, a predicted model, not a curated record
UUUUAUCUCCAUCCAUUUAAACACAUUUGGUAUUUAACAGAUUGUUUCAAAAUGUUUUUGAUCUAGACAUACAGCUUGAAUUCUAUCUGAAUUUUCCUGCAAUCCUCCUGCUGUACCUUCCCCAGUGCUAGGAUUAUAGGACAUAUCACCACAUACAGCCUUCAAAUAGUCUUUCACAAUAUCUUCACAGGGUAGAGAAGCAAAUCAAAAGGAAUACUUAACGUUUAGACUAAUAAUUGCCAAGGUUUUCCAUAGUUCGCCUAAAUCUCAGUUCUUUUCUUUCUUCCUUCCCCCUGCCUCCACCCCCCAGCUUUCUGCUGUAAAAAUAUGAAGCCAUUGCCAAAUUUUGGCUGUGUACAUUUUUUUCCUGUUUUAAUUGAAUGUCUCAGGUAAUGAAAUGUUUAGAGUUUUUUUUUUUUUCUUGUUUUUCUUUUUCUUUUUUUUAUUCUGGUGUCAAUGAAGUUCAGCUGGCUCUGGUUAUAAGCGAUCCAACAGUUUAAUAAGCAGUCAUUUCCCCAGACACAGUGGUAAAUGAAAUGCAUUAUGGAAAACUUGUGAACAAUAUAAUUUUAUCUCACUGCUGAGAGAAAGAAAAAAAAGAUGACCGCCUUGGUCACUGCGGGGCAUUUCCUUUAACCAUGUGUAUUUUCUGAGUUUAGGGAACAGGUGGAAUGCUUCCAGUUGGAGAGAUUUUUGAUUCCUUUGUAAGUGGUAAUAGAGUUAUGUCCACUCUGUUGGAGGACUGAAGGUCUGAUUCGCCAGAAGAUUUGAUUGGGAUGGUGCCUCUUGCGAGUUUGUCAGUGGAUGAUCUCAUUGGCAUGCUGGGUGGAGCUGCCUCGGUUUACCCUCAGUACUCCGUAACAUGCCACCGGAAGCUGGGGCAGCCGUUCUCAACCAUGUGACAACAAAGUUGGGAGAAAUGUCAAGAACUUUCAACAAGAUGUCAGCCCUGUGUUUUGUGAGCCUCUUAUUAAAUACAGCAGGUGCUCACCUCCAGAAUUCCUGUUAUGUGUUCAAAGCACUGGGAAUUAGAUUUUUCUGUGACAUGCAGAGGAGGGCAAAGAGACAACAGCUUGAUGCUGGCAGGUCUAAGAGCAUGACAGCAUCCCUCUUCACCCGGAGAAAAGAGAUUUUAAAAUAACUGUGACUCCAGAGGCUUGAGGUUGUCGCUGUGCCUUAGCUGUGGAGAAAAGGCAAGCUGGCAGCACCACCACCUGUUUUAUGAUAACCUCCAUCUGCCUUGGGAAAUCCCUUCUGGGACCUCUCGGUGGAAAACCUCUCAGCGUGGAAUCAAGACGCUCACCAGCGUGCUGGGGAGUGGGAAAUCUUAAGCAUUUCUGCAGUCUCUGGCCUGCUAAAUGCGUCACGCAGUUUAUUUUUCACAGAGUGACACGUAAAACACUCAAUUCAGUUUAACAACAAAUCUUGGCUUCUAGUUGGUUUCUUGUGUGUGACUUCAGCAGGUUUUCUGGAGUUGGCCGAGGGUGUUUACACAGAGUGCUGGACGCAUUAACAAUGGUUUUGCACAGAAGAUUAAGUGUUAGCUUGCUUCUAUGCUGCUCCAUCGCCCUGUGUAACUCCCCACGGCAAACCUGCUUCCCCACAAACUGUUCCUAGCAGAAUAUCCUUCCUGCUCCACGUUACUAGAAAGAACUCAAAACAGAUGAAAACUAAACCCUCCUCUUUCCAAACUGGAAAGCUUUCCUGCAAGAAAACCCUUCCUUUCGGGUUGCCUGGACACACGCAGACCUCUGAGGACCAGGCCAUGCUGGCUUCAGGGACCUUGUGUAGGAGCAUGCACCUAUGCAUCUGUGUUUUCUCAGAGGCUACCCGUUCUCCAGUACAUGUUUCCUAAUUUGGCCAUGCACAUGGACUAACAUGGAAUCAGUAGGUAUUAAAUUUUGAGAAAGAGAACAAGAAAACACUUGAAGUUGA